This 1341-nucleotide ribosomal RNA is filed under the name uncultured bacterium. RNAcentral describes it as "16S ribosomal RNA". It matches the Rfam family "Bacterial small subunit ribosomal RNA", at positions 28 to 1381 of the family's 1533-position model. The record is from RNAcentral.
GACGAACGCUGGCGGCGUGCUUAACACAUGCAAGUCGAACGGUAAGGCUCCAGCUUGCUGGGGUACACGAGUGGCGAACGGGUGAGUAACACGUGGGUGACCUGCCCUGCACUUCGGGAUAAGCCUGGGAAACUGGGUCUAAUACCGGAUAGGACCGCACCGUGAGGGUGUGGUGGAAAGUUUUUUCGGUGUGGGAUGGGCCCGCGGCCUAUCAGCUUGUUGGUGGGGUAAUGGCCUACCAAGGCGGCGACGGGUAGCCGGCCUGAGAGGGUGGACGGCCACAUUGGGACUGAGACACGGCCCAGACUCCUACGGGAGGCAGCAGUGGGGAAUAUUGCACAAUGGGCGGAAGCCUGAUGCAGCGACGCCGCGUGGGGGAUGACGGCCUUCGGGUUGUAAACUCCUUUCACCAUCGACGAAGGGUUUCUGACGGUAGAUGGAGAAGAAGCACCGGCUAACUACGUGCCAGCAGCCGCGGUAAUACGUAGGGUGCGAGCGUUGUCCGGAAUUACUGGGCGUAAAGAGCUCGUAGGUGGUUUGUCGCGUCGUCUGUGAAAUUCCGGGGCUUAACUCCGGGCGUGCAGGCGAUACGGGCAUAACUUGAGUACUGUAGGGGAGACUGGAAUUCCUGGUGUAGCGGUGAAAUGCGCAGAUAUCAGGAGGAACACCGGUGGCGAAGGCGGGUCUCUGGGCAGUAACUGACGCUGAGGAGCGAAAGCAUGGGGAGCGAACAGGAUUAGAUACCCUGGUAGUCCAUGCCGUAAACGGUGGGCGCUAGGUGUGGGUUUCCUUCCACGGGAUCCGUGCCGUAGCUAACGCAUUAAGCGCCCCGCCUGGGGAGUACGGCCGCAAGGCUAAAACUCAAAGGAAUUGACGGGGGCCCGCACAAGCGGCGGAGCAUGUGGAUUAAUUCGAUGCAACGCGAAGAACCUUACCUGGGCUUGACAUAUACAGGAUCGCGCCAGAGAUGGUGUUUCCCUUGUGGCUUGUAUACAGGUGGUGCAUGGUUGUCGUCAGCUCGUGUCGUGAGAUGUUGGGUUAAGUCCCGCAACGAGCGCAACCCUUGUCUUAUGUUGCCAGCACGUUGUGGUGGGGACUCGUAAGAAACUGCCGGGGUUAACUCGGAGGAAGGUGGGGAUGACGUCAAAUCAUCAUGCCCCUUAUGUUCAGGGCUUCACACAUGCUACAAUGGUCGGUACAGUGGGUUGCCAGUCCGUGAGGGCGAGCUAAUCCCGCAAAGCCGGUCUCAGUUCGGAUCGGGGUCUGCAACUCGACCCCGUGAAGUCGGAGUCGCUAGUAAUCGCAGAUCAGCAACGCUGCGGUGAAUACGUUCCCGGGCCU